GAAGGAGGUGAUCCAGCCGCACGAGCAUCAUCAUCACCAUGACCACGACCACGACCACGACCACGACCACGACCAUCAUCAUGAUCAUCACAACCCUGGUCAUCAACUGGUUGAAGAAGAGUGGCAAGACGCCCACCAGCGCGCGCAUGCCCAGGAUAUUAACCGCCGUUUCAACGGACAAAACGUCACGACCGGGCAGAUCGCUCUGUUUGGCCUCACGGGAGGGCUUAUUCCCUGCCCGGCGUCCAUCACGGUGCUGCUGAUUUGCCUGCAGCUCAAACACUUCGCACUCGGCGCAACGCUGGUGUUCAGCUUCAGUAUUGGCCUCGCACUGACGCUGGUGGCUUCCGGGGCGAUUGCCGCCUUAAGCCUUAGGCACGCGACGAAGCGCUGGCCGAGUUUCAGCGAGUUUUCGCGAAAAGCGCCCUGGAUAUCAGCGGCACUGAUUACCCUCGUCGGGAUCUACAUGAGUCUUCACGGGCUGAGCGGGAUUUUAUCCUGAGCGACGCGGCCACCCGCGGUGGCCGCGACUGGCGCGCUACAGUGCGUUCUGAUGCCAGCUAAAGCUAUAGCAGAGCUGACGAUGUUGCAGGAUGAAUUCCGGUGAAACGCUUGGGCUCCAGGAAUCAUCACCGCCAACGCCCAUAUGGAAUGCAUCCAGAUUGAGCCAGCAGCCCGGCUCAUCGCGCAGCAAGUGCUGAUGCGUUGUCUCACGAAGCUGCUGUUGGCUGUGGCGGCUGACGGAGAAAUGGAAAUUUCCCUGAAGCACGUGCGCCCCGCAGACGAGCUCUCGGGUGUCACAGCGCAGGCCGUUUUCUGUCGGGAAAAUGUAGGGGGUCUGCAUCGCAUCGAGCGGCAACGUCCAGCGCCCCUGCUGCGCCGCCAGCUUCCUGUCCGGAUAGUUCUCGAACGGCCCCAGCCCCAGCCAGCGCACCGUAUCCGGUACCUGAGCAAACUGGACGCACAGGCCGAUACGCGCGGGCUCGGGAAUAUCGGACGCCACCUGCACCUGCACAUCGCCAUGCAGCACGCCGCAAUCGUCAAUCCGCCAGACCUUAUGGCUCAAAAACAGCGCCUUACCGCGAUACUCCCAGACGUGUCGCGUGGUCACGACCACGUCAUUAGUAUGCGGUUCCGCUUCACACAUAAGCAGGCGCGCAGACAUCUCAAUCAUUCCGGCCGCUUUCCAGCGUUCAACCCAGGCAUUCGGAUCGAUUUGCGUGGCUUCGCUCACGCCAAUGUCAUUAUCCAGCGGCGCACGGGUAAAGUUAUCCGUCAGCGGCGAGCGCAGGGUUUCAACGCCCUUGUUCCACCACUGCGUCAGAUUUCCCGAGGCGCGAUCGAACCGCCAGCGUUGCUCUCCAUGGGUAAUGUCCAGCACAUCAUCCUGCUCUGUGAAUACCGGCGGGAUCCCUACUGCCCGCGGUGGCGUAACGUACAGCGGCGUAGGAAGCAGCCACUGAUCCCACGCGCAGCGAUGAUUCGCCGGUGACCAGGCUGUUGCCUGCGGCUGGAUCACCUCCUU
RNAcentral lists this ribosomal RNA (1525 nucleotides) under uncultured Bacillus sp. RNAcentral's name for it is "partial 16S ribosomal RNA". Lineage: Bacteria; Bacillati; Bacillota; Bacilli; Caryophanales; Bacillaceae. The record is from RNAcentral.